UUUGCAUGGGAAUUUGGUGAUGCUUCAUCUUCAUUAAUCACUGCACUCACCCUAAAAUAUUCGUCUUUACAUUCAGAGUGCACCAUUUCCACAUUUUUGGGAUCACUUGCACCUGCCUGUCCCCCUUUGGAGGAAAGGAGGCAAAACACUCACACAGCACACAAACCUGUACUCAGCUGCGUGCCCCGACAGGUCUAGACCUCAGGAAAGCCAGAGGCCCCCAGAUCCAAACUGAAUGCAAUAAUUACAUUACAAAGUCUGGACUGCAAACUGGAGAUGCUGUCGUAACAAAUGCAGGUCCUGUCUUUCUGGGGAAAAAGAGACACACAGGUUGUGGUUGCUGUGCUUCCCUCAAUGAACCAUGGUACAUCCAUCAUUAUCCGGCACAGUGACCUGCUAGCCCUUUGCUCACACCAGUGGCUGACUGGCGUGGAACAAAAGUCCUUUUAAAUUUUGAAAGUCUAACUCUUAAUUUGAGAUGUACACAGUUAAUUCAGCUACAAACAGUGAAUA
This is a long non-coding RNA of Girardinichthys multiradiatus, 513 nucleotides long. RefSeq lists it as uncharacterized. The record is from RefSeq and is a predicted model, not a curated record. The transcript is spliced from 3 exons. NCBI's taxonomy places the organism in Eukaryota, Metazoa, Chordata, Actinopteri, Cyprinodontiformes, Goodeidae.